UUGCUAUUGGUUCAAUUGUGCUGGUCUCUGGGUGCAGGUCGGCGACGGAUGAGAGUCUGGUGAACGUAUCGUCGGUCGCGGA
This 82-nucleotide transfer RNA is filed under the name Erythrobacter sp. NAP1. RNAcentral describes it as "tRNA-Cys". The record is from RNAcentral. Lineage: Bacteria; Pseudomonadati; Pseudomonadota; Alphaproteobacteria; Sphingomonadales; Erythrobacteraceae.